RNAcentral lists this transfer RNA (55 nucleotides) under Fabaeformiscandona kushiroensis. RNAcentral's name for it is "tRNA-Ser". Lineage: Eukaryota; Metazoa; Arthropoda; Ostracoda; Podocopida; Candonidae. The record is from RNAcentral.
GAGAUGAAAGAAUGAGCUUCUAACUCAUAACUCAGCAAAAUUUGUUGUCAUCUCU